RNAcentral lists this ribosomal RNA (517 nucleotides) under uncultured bacterium. RNAcentral describes it as "partial 16S ribosomal RNA". It matches the Rfam family "Bacterial small subunit ribosomal RNA", at positions 355 to 861 of the family's 1533-position model. The record is from RNAcentral.
UGGGGAAUCUUCCGCAAUGGACGAAAGUCUGACGGAGCAACGCCGCGUGUAUGAUGAAGGUCUUCGGAUUGUAAAGUACUGUCAUUGGGGAAGAACGGUUUUCUUGAAAAGAUUGAGAAGACAUGACGGUACCCAAGGAGGAAGCCCCGGCUAACUACGUGCCAGCAGCCGCGGUAAUACGUAGGGGGCAAGCGUUGUCCGGAAUUAUUGGGCGUAAGGGGCGCGUAGGCGGGCCUUUAAGUCCGGUGUGAAAGAUCAGGGCUCAACCCUGAGAGUGCAUCGGAAACUGGAGGCCUUGAGGACAGGAGAGGAAAGUGGAAUUCCACGUGUAGCGGUGAAAUGCGUAGAUAUGUGGAGGAACACCAGUGGCGAAGGCGACUUUCUGGACUGUAACUGACGCUGAGGCGCGAAAGCGUGGGGAGCAAACAGGAUUAGAUACCCUGGUAGUCCACGCCGUAAACGAUGAGUGCUAGGUGUAGAGGGUAUCGACCCCGUUCUGUGCCGCAGUUAACACAAU